This 468-nucleotide ribosomal RNA is filed under the name uncultured bacterium. Its description in RNAcentral is "bacterial SSU rRNA". It matches the Rfam family "Bacterial small subunit ribosomal RNA", at positions 28 to 507 of the family's 1533-position model. The record is from RNAcentral.
GAUGAACGCUAGCGGCAGGCUUAACACAUGCAAGUCGAGGGGCAGCAUGAAUGUAGCGAUACAUUUGAUGGCGACCGGCGCACGGGUGCGUAACGCGUAUGCAACCUACCUAUAACAGGGGGAUAAUCCGAAGAAAUUUGGUCUAAUACCCCAUAAUAUCUGAGAAGGCAUCUUUUCAGGUUGAAAGCUCCGACGGUUAUAGAUGGGCAUGCGUUGUAUUAGGUAGUUGGUGAGGUAACGGCUCACCAAGCCGACGAUACAUAGGGGGACUGAGAGGUUAACCCCCCACAUUGGUACUGAGACACGGACCAAACUCCUACGGGAGGCAGCAGUGAGGGAUAUUGCACAAUGGGGGAAACCCUGAUGCAGCAAUGCCGCGUGAGGGAAGACGGUCUUCGGAUUGUAAACCUAAGUUGUCAGGGACGAAACAUGACGGUACCUGAAGAGAAAGCUCCGGCUAACUACGUG